GGGUAUAUAGCUCAAGUGGUAGAGCACAUGCUUAGCAUACACAAGGUCCUGGGUUCAAUCCCCAGUACCUCCU
Molecule: transfer RNA, 73 nt
Filed under: Camelus bactrianus (Bactrian camel)
Lineage: Eukaryota; Metazoa; Chordata; Mammalia; Artiodactyla; Camelidae
Also listed under: 2 other names
Rfam family: tRNA
About the family: Transfer RNA (tRNA) molecules are approximately 80 nucleotides in length.
Source: Rfam by way of RNAcentral